UGUACGUCGUUCUGCAUCUGUGGCCAAUAGUAUCGCUCCUGCAAAUUCCUUAACGUUUUGAAUUGACCAAAAUGAGUGGUGUCAUGUGCUUCCUGUAGUAAUUGGUUUCUUUCCUGCAUUGGUGGGCCCAACGGACAAGUUUAGCUGAACCUCCCUCAGCGCUGAUACGACGUAGCCAAAUGAGACUCUGAACGUUAGUGACGACAGUAAAUUUUGAGCCUUCGACAAAAUGUCGAAACUUCUCGAUGGCUAGUAUUACACCAAGGCACUCCUUCUCUGUUGGUGCAUAUUUCCUCUGUGAUGUGGACAACUUUCUGGAGAAGAACGCUACCGGGCGUCGAAGUCCGUUAUGGAUUUGUACCAAGACUGCACCAACAGCGACGUCGGAGGCGUCGGACUCGAUGAUGAACGGGAGCUGAAAAUCUGGAUUUGCAAGGACAUUUGGUGAGAUCAGAGUUGGAUUAAUGAAAAUAUUAAGAAACUAUUUACCUCUAAUUCUAUUAGGGAUACAGAAAAAAAAUCACUAUGUCCUAUUCACUAUGUAAAUAAGUUUUGUUUUUAUAUUGAUACAAUUUGCUUAUGUACUACCUAAACUGUAAAAAUUUCCAAAAUAAUUCACUAAAUCUCACCAAUCAAUUCCCGGCUAGGGUGGUAUCCCUAGGGCGUUCCACCGUUAACCUACAGGGGACUAAAUCGCGAAACCGACCUAGGAACGAGCGUGUACAACAACUUCCAUCUCACAACCGUUCGACUUUCGUCUCAUCAGGAAUCGUAGCAUAAAAAUAUACACUAAUUCACAUCUUAGAUUUAUUAUUCAUUACAUCCUCAUCCGAAUUCUUGCUGUCCACGCUGCUGACGAUGAAUGAACUUACGUGUCUGCUGACACGUGCGGAACUUGU
Long non-coding RNA from Topomyia yanbarensis, 899 nucleotides. RefSeq lists it as uncharacterized. The transcript has 3 exons. NCBI's taxonomy places the organism in Eukaryota, Metazoa, Arthropoda, Insecta, Diptera, Culicidae. The record is from RefSeq and is a predicted model, not a curated record.